CGUAGGAUGCAAGCGUUGUCCGGAAUUAUUGGGCGUAAAGAGCGCGCAGGCGGUAUGACAAGUCAGAUGUGAAAGAGGCCGGCUUAACCGGCAAGGGUCAUUUGAAACUGUCAGACUAGAGUGCAGCAGAGGAUAGUGGAAUUCCCGGUGUAGUGGUGAAAUGCGUAGAUAUCGGGAGGAACACCAGUGGCGAAGGCGACUAUCUGGGCUGCAACUGACGCUGAGGCGCGAAGGCUAGGGUAGCAAACAGGAUUAGAUACCCUGGUAGUCCUAGCAGUAAACGAUGGAUACUAGGUGUUGGGGGAAAUUGACCCCCUCAGUGCCGCAGUUAACACAAUAAGUAUCCCGCCUGGGGAGUACGGUCGCAAGAUUA
Molecule: ribosomal RNA, 373 nt
Filed under: uncultured organism
Description: bacterial SSU rRNA
Rfam family: Bacterial small subunit ribosomal RNA
Source: RNAcentral